RNAcentral lists this ribosomal RNA (407 nucleotides) under Janthinobacterium sp. CT2. RNAcentral describes it as "bacterial SSU rRNA". It matches the Rfam family "Bacterial small subunit ribosomal RNA", at positions 978 to 1394 of the family's 1533-position model. The record is from RNAcentral. Lineage: Bacteria; Pseudomonadati; Pseudomonadota; Betaproteobacteria; Burkholderiales; Oxalobacteraceae.
CCCCAUCCCUGGCAUCUCUAGAGAUUGAGGAGUGCUCGAAAGAGAACCAGUACACAGGUGCUGCAUGGCUGUCGUCAGCUCGUGUCGUGAGAUGUUGGGUUAAGUCCCGCAACGAGCGCAACCCUUGUCAUUAGUUGCUACGAAAGGGCACUCUAAUGAGACUGCCGGUGACAAACCGGAGGAAGGUGGGGAUGACGUCAAGUCCUCAUGGCCCUUAUGGGUAGGGCUUCACACGUCAUACAAUGGUACAUACAGAGCGCCGCCAACCCGCGAGGGGGAGCUAAUCGCAGAAAGUGUAUCGUAGUCCGGAUUGUAGUCUGCAACUCGACUGCAUGAAGUUGGAAUCGCUAGUAAUCGCGGAUCAGCAUGUCGCGGUGAAUACGUUCCCGGGUCUUGUACACACCGAC